This 2829-nucleotide long non-coding RNA is filed under the name Solanum tuberosum (potato). RNAcentral describes it as "long non-coding RNA (STUB_LNC010659)". The record is from RNAcentral. Lineage: Eukaryota; Viridiplantae; Streptophyta; Magnoliopsida; Solanales; Solanaceae.
GAUACUUCCCAAUAGCAUGCAGAAGAAUGUGUUGUGUCUACUAAGCAAAGGCAGGUGAGUUUCCCCUUCAUUGUAGCCUCAUUUAUACUAAGUCUAAAGUCCGCCUAAAAAAGACAACAACUAAAUGAAAUUUACGUCUUAUAUAACACUCAAUAGCUCUUCAAUGAUUUUGGUCAACUAAUAGCUAUAACAUUUAGUUUUCCAACACACAGACACGUGUGUUCACAAGUGUGUACACGCACGUAGAGAUAGAGACUUCACUUCAAUAGAUUAAUAUCAAAGUCGAGAAAUGAACAUUGUAGAAAAAAUGAGAAACAACGCAAAUCUUUGAGUUGUUCAUUUGCGAAAUAGCAACAGAAAAAAAUCAUCUUACUUAUCGUGCGACAUAUGUACUCAUGGUCUCUGGAGAGUUCUAAGAUAGAUUUUCGAGGUAUUUUAAUUUCAUCUUUAUACUGGGAAGUGAACCAGCAAUCUAAGUUGCUCGGACUCAAGUGCGGGUGUCCAAUUUGGAUGCGGAUCUAGAGGUCGGAGCCUUCAUGAUCUAAUUUUUAAGAUUUGGAGAUAUGGAUCCAUGUAUGGGCAUAGGUGCGGAGAUUCGCCUAAAAAAUAAUAAAAAUAUCUUAAAAUAGAGUUAUUAAACCUAAAUUAUCAGAUAUUAUGUGGAGAACUUGAGGAGAAUCCUAGAAGGAGAUUAAAGGAAAAGGAGUGACAUGGAUAUUUCUAUAUAAAAGGUAUUUCAUUUUCUUCAAUUUCACCAUAGCUUUUGUAUUGACUAGGGGUGUACAAAACCGAACCGAGAACCGAACCAAACCGCAAAUCGAAUCAACCCGGAAAAAAAACCCGACUAGUGGUUUGGUUUGACUUGGUUUGGUUUUGAAAAAUAAAACCCGACUAUAUUUGGGUUGGUUUGGUUUUAACUAAAAAAAACCAACCCGAGACCAAACCAACCCGAAUUUAUAUAUAUAAUUUUAAAAUUUUAUUUUAUACAUAAAAAUAUUUACUUUGAUAUAAUUUUUAAAUAUUUCUUAUACUUUUCCAUAGUUUUUAAUAUUUAAUAUAUUAUUUCAAGUUUGAAACUUAGAAUUAUGAAUGGGCCAAUAAAGAUUAUAGUCCACAUAUGUUGGUAAUUAUAAUAAAGCUUAAAUCAAAAUCAAAUUAAUACUAAUGCAAAAAGAAAAUCAAUUCAACACUAAGAAUGACAAUAAUAUUGAAUAUUUGCUCUUUAGUUUUAGGGAUAAGGGUCUGAAAAAUACUCCAACUUUGGUCGGAUUUGUUGUUGCGAUACUAAACUUUCAUAAGGACCUAUUACCUCCCUAGACUAUUUAAUACCGUAUCCAAUAAAGAUUAUAGUCCACAGAUGUUGGUAAUUAUAAUAAAGCUUAAAUCUAAAUCAAAUUAAUACUAAUGCAAAAAGAAAAUCAAUUCAACACUAAGAAUGACAAUAAUAUUGAAUAUUUGUUCUUUAGUUUUACAUUGGUUUAGACAAUUAAAAUACAUAAUCUAAUUUUAAUUUCCUUUAAACUUAAUUUUAGCAUGAUUUAGUACUUUUAAAUUAUGAUCAUUUUCAUUAUGACUUGUUAAUUUGCAAUAUUUGUUUUACGCGAUUUCAUUAUUAUUAUUUUUGUUGGAUAUUUUAGUGUCAUUAAUCAUAUUAUAUUGUGUUAUAUUUUUAAGAAACAUCUUAAAUAGUUGUAUUUUGGUAGGACUAAGGAAAUAUUUGAAGUACAAGUUAAUUAUAUGCUGUGUAUGAAUACUUUACCGGAAAAACCCGAAACAACCCGAAAAACCGAAAAACCCGAGGUUGAAAAACCCGAGUUUUAUUGGUUUGGUUUGGUUUAUAAAUUUAAAAAUCCGACCUAAAUGGUUUGGUUUGAUAUUUGAAAAACCCGAACCAACCCGGCCAUGUACACCCCUAGUAUUGACUAUAGAAAUCAUUAAAACUGUCCAAACUUUUCCCAUCGGUUUUGGUCAAAGUACCCAAAAUCAAUUGACCAAAUCGGACACAGAUCCCACACCCACACCCAUGUUGUGUCGACACGGGUGUGGCACCAAAAGUGAAGAGUCUGAGCAACUUAGCCAGCAAUUGCAAAAGGCAUUUCAGGCAAUAAAAGAAUUGAAAUAAAGCGUGAAUAGCCUCAAGGGUUGAGAAACAAUGAAGUUCCAUUUUCCAAAUAAUAUGUUGUAUUAACUUGUUAGUGGUUUAAUAACUCUAUUUAAAAAAGAUGUGUUGUAUGUAAAGCUGAGAGAUAAUUGAUCACAGUUAGGCAAAAGAGUCCAGUCAUAAUGUUCAAUAGUGAUAUCGCAAAGCAUUAAAUUUAAAAGGUAACUUGAGUGUGUGUAUAUAUAUAUAUAUAAAAGAAUAAUUUAGAGUGCGAGCUUAUGAAGUGAUUCAUACAACUUUGGCAGGUUUGUUGCUCUGUAUUGAUAUGGUAAUUAUUUGAGAAAAGGUUGAAUAAGAUACUGAUGAUAUGAGGCUACGGAACUACCUUUGGAGCAAUUACGUGUCACCAUAUCCCCAAAACUUAAGUAAUUUGUUGCCAACAGAUUCUUCGAAAGCACAGCCCAAAAAAAAGAAUGCUUAGCUUGCACGCCAUACACUAUUUGAAGCCUAACAUCAUUUUCCAUCAGACGAAUUCUCAGCUCUUCCUUUUGCUUCAGUUCAUUAACAGAGCUCCAUGCUUCUCUGUCAGACACUUCUUCACAUCACAAUACAUACCCACCUAGAGGCUGCCAAUUAAUAUCACAUAGAUGAAGUCCAUAAAAAGAGUAAACAUCUCUAGUAUUUUGUAAUGCAGAGACUCAAAAUUGCAAAAGGAGAAAAGAGUGAGC